CCUACGGGCGGCAGCAGUGAGGAAUAUUGGUCAAUGGACGAGAGUCUGAACCAGCCAAGUAGCGUGAAGGAUGACUGCCCUAUGGGUUGUAAACUUCUUUUAUAUGGGAAUAAAAUGUUCCACGUGUGGGAUUUUGUAUGUACCAUAUGAAUAAGGAUCGGCUAACUCCGUGCCAGCAGCCGCGGUAAUACGGAGGAUCCGAGCGUUAUCCGGAUUUAUUGGGUUUAAAGGGAGCGUAGAUGGGUUGUUAAGUCAGUUGUGAAAGUUUGCGGCUCAACCGUAAAAUUGCAAUUGAUACUGGCAGUCUUGAGUACAGUUGAGGUAGGCGGAAUUCGUGGUGUAGCGGUGAAAUGCAUAGAUAUCACGCAGAACUCCGAUUGCGAAGGCAGCAUACCGGCGCUCAACUGACGCUCAUGCACGAAAGUGUGGGUAUCGAACAGGAUUAGAUACCCGUGUAGUC
This 460-nucleotide ribosomal RNA is filed under the name uncultured bacterium. Its description in RNAcentral is "partial 16S ribosomal RNA". It matches the Rfam family "Bacterial small subunit ribosomal RNA", at positions 338 to 795 of the family's 1533-position model. The record is from RNAcentral.